Molecule: small RNA, 161 nt
Filed under: Chelonoidis abingdonii (Abingdon island giant tortoise)
Lineage: Eukaryota; Metazoa; Chordata; Testudines; Testudinidae
Description: TUC338 (ENSCABG00000016917.1)
Source: RNAcentral
CAGAUAGCCCUGUAAAAUGAAGUCAUCCACAGAACAGGUACAGCACCAGGCAAUGGCUGUGCAAGCUACUCCACACUGCUCUACUAAUGUGCAUCCACCCUGACACAUACAAAGACAAGCUGUAGGGGCAGCAAAGUAAUGCAUGUCUAAAAUGGACAUUU